GCAUAUCAAUAAGCGGAGGAAAAGAAACUAACAAGGAUUCCCCUAGUAACGGCGAGUGAAGCGGGAAGAGCUCAAAUUUGAAAGCUGGUACCUUUGGUGCCCGCGUUGUAAUCUCGAGACGCGUUUUCCGCGCGGCGCUAUGGACAAGUUCCUUGGAACAGGACAUCGUAGAGGGUGAAAAUCCCGUACUUGCCAUGGAUGCACCGUGCUUUGUGAUACGUGCUCAAAGAGUCGAGUUGUUUGGGAUUGCAGCUCAAAAUGGGUGGUAGACUCCAUCUAAAGCUAAAUAUCGGGGAGAGACCGAUAGCGAACAAGUACCGUGAGGGAAAGAUGAAAAGCACUUUGGAAAGAGAGUUAAAAGUACGUGAAAUUGUCGAAAGGGAAGCGCUUGAAGUCAGCCAUGCCGCUCAGGACUCAGCCUGGCUUUUGCUUGGUGUACUUCCUGGGUAGCAAGUCAGCAUUGGUUUGGACCGUCGGAGAAGCAUGGCAGGAAUGUGACGCCCUCGGGCGUGUUAUAGCCUGCCAUUGGAUACGCCGGUCUAGACCAAGGAACGCAGUGCGCCUUACGGCGGGUCU
Molecule: ribosomal RNA, 576 nt
Filed under: Malassezia japonica
Lineage: Eukaryota; Fungi; Basidiomycota; Malasseziomycetes; Malasseziales; Malasseziaceae
Description: LSU rRNA
Rfam family: Eukaryotic large subunit ribosomal RNA
Source: RNAcentral